UCCUCUUAGACAGUUGACUGUUAGUGAUGAUGAUGGCAAAGAAUUCUUGGAGUCUUCUAUGUCCAAGGAAGUGUGUGGUGGAGUAAUAGCUAAGCAUGUUUAUGAAAACUGUUUAGAAGAGUGUUACAUGGGAGAUAGCAUUCUGAUGGUUACACAAAAGGCUAGUGAAUUGAGCUUACUGAAAAAUGCAGGGACGUUUCUCAUUACAGCGAAGGAAAGAAGUGAUGGGAUCGUUGAUGUGAGGAAGAUUCGUGGAGAAAUUUUAGUUGAACAAGUUCUACAUGAAUGGUUAGUGAGCUUAAACGAUGGUGAUAGAUUGUUGAUGAAGCAGUGGAGGUCUGAUGAAAACGGUUUUCAGGAAAUCAUUAGUAUGUUUAAGGAACUUCAAGUGACGUCUCAGGAUCGACAAUGCCAUCAGGAUGAAGUUCUGAGUCUUCUGACUUCAACAAUUCAUUCUGGUAUGGACAAGACACUACAUUACAACCUUGUACUAGCUAAUUAUAUUUGGAAACCAGGUGGGUACAUGUGGUUAGAAGUUCUGAGAGAGUGGUGCAAGGAAUUUCAAAAGGAUAGAAGGGAUGAUGUGUUGAAGUUUUUGGUCUGGUUCGGUGCUUACAAUAGAAAGCUUGUAGCAGACAUAGAGUUUUAUACCCAUAGUUCUAAGAAUCAGAAGUUGCUGAUCACACAUCAUGGGUUAAAGAGUCAGAAGAUGCAGACAAGUCAUGACUUGUUUUCAAAUCAUUGUUCUUGUGAAAGGCAAAUUUCGAUCUCUAAGCUGUUGAGUACGGUUGCUGUCAUCACUUUUAGGAGAAAUACAAUGCAAGGAUUAGAGAGUGAGCAUAUACAGGGAAUAACAAUGACUGCUACAAGGGAACGACUUUCUGAAAUUUCUCUGGCAAAUCGAGUGUGGAAGCCCGGUAAGUUCCUCUUACUGGUUAAUCGAGUGCAAUGGGAAUGGUUCCAGAAGUUUUACAGCUUGGAUCUAACUGUGAAGCUAGUGCAAAGACAGGAUAUUAAAUCUUGGAUCACUCUUUGUGAUAAGGAUGAAGAUCUGAAGCGAAGCACUAGAAAAGUGAAGAUGAGAAGUGAAUAUAAGCAAGAAAGUAUUGAAGAUGAGCAAAGAAGCAAUGGUGGAAUGGCGGUUGACUACUACCUUGAGGACAAGGUAGCCUUAAAAGGGAUGAGUAGUGAGUAUAAUGGUAAGAUGAUGUGGCUCAUUUUACAUGGCUUGGGAGUGCAAGCGUUAUCAGUUACCAAGGAACCUUGGGAAGAGGUCAUAUUCAUUACUUCCCGGCUGAAACAGAGGAUAAGAGUAUGUGUAAGAGGAGAAGACGCUUACUCUCCAAC
RNAcentral lists this long non-coding RNA (1347 nucleotides) under Capsella grandiflora. Its description in RNAcentral is "long non-coding RNA (CGRA_LNC000533)". The record is from RNAcentral. Lineage: Eukaryota; Viridiplantae; Streptophyta; Magnoliopsida; Brassicales; Brassicaceae.